AUUGAACGCUGGCGGCAUGCCUUACACAUGCAAGUCGAACGGUAACAGGUCUUCGGAUGCUGACGAGUGGCGAACGGGUGAGUAAUACAUCGGAACGUGCCUAGUAGUGGGGGAUAACUACUCGAAAGAGUGGCUAAUACCGCAUGAGAUCUACGGAUGAAAGCAGGGGAUCGAAAGACCUUGUGCUACUAGAGCGGCCGAUGGCAGAUAAGGUAGUUGGUGGGAUAAAAGCUUACCAAGCCGACGAUCUGUAGCUGGUCUGAGAGGACGAUCAGCCACACUGGGACUGAGACACGGCCCAGACUCCUACGGGAGGCAGCAGUGGGGAAUUUUGGACAAUGGGCGAAAGCCUGAUCCAGCAAUGCCGCGUGCAGGAUGAAGGCCUUCGGGUUGUAAACUGCUUUUGUACGGAACGAAAAGCCCCGGGUUAAUACCCUGGGGUCAUGACGGUACCGUAAGAAUAAGCACCGGCUAACUACGUGCCAGCCGCCGCGGUAA
RNAcentral lists this ribosomal RNA (498 nucleotides) under uncultured bacterium. RNAcentral describes it as "partial 16S ribosomal RNA". It matches the Rfam family "Bacterial small subunit ribosomal RNA", at positions 30 to 523 of the family's 1533-position model. The record is from RNAcentral.